Molecule: ribosomal RNA, 441 nt
Filed under: uncultured soil bacterium
Lineage: Bacteria
Description: bacterial SSU rRNA
Rfam family: Bacterial small subunit ribosomal RNA
Source: RNAcentral
AGAACGAACGCUGGCGGCAUGCCUAACACAUGCAAGUCGAACGAACCCUUCGGGGUUAGUGGCGCACGGGUGCGUAACGCGUGGGAACCUGCCUUUUGGUUCGGAAUAACAGUGAGAAAUUGCUGCUAAUACCGGAUAAUGUCUUCGGACCAAAGAUUUAUCGCCAUUAGAUGGGCCCGCGUAGGAUUAGCUAGUUGGUGGGUAAAGGCCUACCAAGGCGACGAUCCUUAGCUGGUCUUAGAGGAUGAUCAGCCACACUGGGACUGAGACACGGCCCAGACUCCUACGGGAGGCAGCAGUGGGGAAUAUUGGACAAUGGGCGAAAGCCUGAUCCAGCAAUGCCGCGUGAGUGAUGAAGGCCUUAGGGUGUAAAGCUCUCUUACCCGGAUGGAUAAUGACAGUACCGGAGAAUAAGCCCGGCCAACUCCGUGCCAGCAGCGC